RNAcentral lists this ribosomal RNA (773 nucleotides) under uncultured Neocallimastigales. Its description in RNAcentral is "partial large subunit ribosomal RNA". It matches the Rfam family "Eukaryotic large subunit ribosomal RNA", at positions 24 to 648 of the family's 3401-position model. Lineage: Eukaryota; Fungi; Neocallimastigomycota; Neocallimastigomycetes; Neocallimastigales. The record is from RNAcentral.
UAUGUGAUCGUCUCUCGCAUAUCAAUAAGCGGAGGAAAAGAAACUAACAAGGAUUCCCCUAGUAACGGCGAGUGAAGCGGGAAGAGCUCAAAUUUGAAAUCUUAAAGGGUUUCCCUUUACGAAUUGUAGUUUAAAGAAGUGUUUUCUGUUGAGGUUUUGGUAAAAGUUCUUUGGAAUAGGACAUCAUAGAGGGUGAGAAUCCCGUAUUUGACCUUUACUUUCAACUUUGUGAUACACUUUCAAAGAGUCGGAUUGUUUGGGAAUGCAGUCCAAAAUGGGUGGUAAAUUUCAUCUAAAGCUAAAUAUUGGCGAGAGACCGAUAGCGAACAAGUACCGUGAGGGAAAGAUGAAAAGAACUUUGAAAAGAGAGUUAAACAGUACGUGAAAUUGUCAAAAGGGAAGCGUUUGACACCAGUGUUGUUUUUCUGAACAUCAAUUGAAGAACUGUUUAUGCUAAGUUGUUUAGACUUUAUCAGCUAACUGUUUAGUUUUGAGCUUUUCUUUAAUGCACUUUUCAGUUAACAAGUCAACAUCAAUUUCUUUUGCUGUAAAAAAGCUUGAGGAAGGUGGCUUGAGAUUCGUCUUAAGUGUUUAUAGCCUCUUGCCUAUGCAGUCGGAGAGAUUGAGGUCUGCAGCGUAGAUCCUUCGGGGCUAAAUGCAUUUGUGCUAAGUUAUAGCAUUUUAUAGACAACUUGUUGACUAUGAUUUGUCUUGUAGCUUACUCGCUUAUGUUAUUUUACCUACGCUUAGGAUGUUGAGUAGCGACAUACGCA